GAUGAAGAACGUAGCGAAAUGCGAUAAGUAAUGUGAAUUGCAGAAUUCAGUGAAUCAUCGAAUCUUUGAACGCACCUUGCGCCCUUUGGCUAUUCCGAAGGGCAUGCCUGUUUGAGUAUCGUGAACACCUCAACUCUCAUGGUUUGCCAUGAUGAGCUUGGACUUUGGGGGUUUUGCUGGCCUUUGGUCGGCUCCUCUCAAACGGAUCAGCUUUCCAGUGUUUGGUGGCGUCACGGGUGUGAUAACUAUCUACGCCUGUGGUUUUCUGCCAGAUAACCUUCAGCGAUGGAGGUUCGCUGGGGCUCAUAAAUGUCUCUCUUCAGUGGAGACAGCUUUUUGGACGUUUGAUCUCAAAUCGGGUAGGACUACCCGCUGAACUUAAGCAUAUCAAUAAGCGGAGGA
Molecule: unclassified non-coding RNA, 402 nt
Filed under: soil metagenome
Description: partial contains 5.8S ribosomal RNA, internal transcribed spacer 2, and large subunit ribosomal RNA
Rfam family: 5.8S ribosomal RNA (bases 1-121)
Source: RNAcentral